RNAcentral lists this transfer RNA (76 nucleotides) under Thermodesulfobacteriota bacterium. RNAcentral's name for it is "Thermodesulfobacteria bacterium tRNA-Ala". It matches the Rfam family "tRNA". From Rfam's summary of the family: Transfer RNA (tRNA) molecules are approximately 80 nucleotides in length. The record is from RNAcentral. Lineage: Bacteria; Pseudomonadati; Thermodesulfobacteriota. RNAcentral also lists the same sequence under 1 other name.
GGGGAUGUAGCUCAGUUGGGAGAGCGCCACGUUCGCAACGUGGAAGCCGGGGGUUCGAGUCCCCCCAUCUCCACCA